This 226-nucleotide ribosomal RNA is filed under the name uncultured Lysobacteraceae bacterium. RNAcentral's name for it is "uncultured Xanthomonadaceae bacterium partial 16S ribosomal RNA". It matches the Rfam family "Bacterial small subunit ribosomal RNA", at positions 1157 to 1382 of the family's 1533-position model. Lineage: Bacteria; Pseudomonadati; Pseudomonadota; Gammaproteobacteria; Lysobacterales; Lysobacteraceae. The record is from RNAcentral.
GACAACUCGGAGGAAGGUGGGGAUGACGUCAAAUCAUCAUGGCCCUUAUGUCUUGGGCUACACACGUGCUACAAUGGCUGAAACAAAGGGAAGCGACAACGUAAGUUGAAGCGGAUCUCAAAAAAACAGUCCCAGUUCGGAUUGUGGGCUGCAACCCGCCCACAUGAAGUCGGAGUUGCUAGUAAUCGCGGAUCAGCAUGCCGCGGUGAAUACGUUCCCGGGCCUU